GACCUGAGAGGGUGAUCGGCCACACUGGGACUGAGACACGGCCCAGACUCCUACGGGAGGCAGCAGUAGGGAAUCUUCCGCAAUGGACGAAAGUCUGACGGAGCAACGCCGCGUGAGUGAUGAAGGUUUUCGGGUCGUAAAGCUCUGUUGUUAGGGAAGAACAAGUACCGUUCAAAUAGGGCGGCACCUUGACGGUACCUAACCAGAAAGCCACGGCUAACUACGUGCCAGCAGCCGCGGUAAUACGUAGGUGGCAAGCGUUGUCCGGAAUUAUUGGGCGUAAAGCGCGCGCAGGCGGUUUCUUAAGUCUGAUGUGAAAGCCCCCGGCUCAACCGGGGAGGGUCAUUGGAAACU
RNAcentral lists this ribosomal RNA (354 nucleotides) under bacterium LimB-100-A-359. RNAcentral's name for it is "bacterial SSU rRNA". It matches the Rfam family "Bacterial small subunit ribosomal RNA", at positions 289 to 634 of the family's 1533-position model. The record is from RNAcentral.